Molecule: ribosomal RNA, 505 nt
Filed under: uncultured bacterium
Lineage: Bacteria
Description: partial 16S ribosomal RNA
Source: RNAcentral
GGAGUUAGCCGGUGCUUCUUCUGUGAGUGAUGUCCUUCCUGCCGGCUAUUAACCCGCAGGCCUUCUUCCUCACUGAAAGUGCUUUACAACCCGAAGGCCUUCUUCACACACGCGGCAUGGCUGGAUCAGGGUUGCCCCCAUUGUCCAAUAUUCCCCACUGCUGCCUCCCGUAGGAGUCUGGGCCGUGUCUCAGUCCCAGUGUGGCUGAUCAUCCUCUCAGACCAGCUACGGAUCGUCGCCUUGGUGAGCCGUUACCUCACCAACCAGCUAAUCCGACAUAGGCUCAUCCGAUAGCGCGAGGCCCGAAGGUCCCCCGCUUUCCCCCGUAGGGCGUAUGCGGUAUUAGCCUGGGUUUCCCCAGGUUAUCCCCCACUACCGGGCAGAUUCCUAUGCAUUACUCACCCGUCCGCCGCUCGCCACCCAGGGAGCAAGCUCCCCGUGCUGCCGCUCGACUUGCAUGUGUAGCUGCCGCCAGCGUCAAUCUGAGCAUAAUACAAACUACUGA